AACGAACGCUGGCGGCAUGCCUAACACAUGCAAGUCGAACGAGACCUUCGGGUCUUUUGGGGAACGGGUGCGUAACGCGUGGGAACCUUCCCUUAUGUUCGGAAUAACUCUCCGAAAGGGGUGCUAAUACCGGACAAUGGCUUCUGCCCAAUGAUUUAUUGCCUCUGGAUGGGCCCGCGUUGGAUUAGCUAUUUGGUAGGGUAAAAGCCUACCAAGGCGACGAUCCAUAGCUGGUCUGAGAGGAUGAUCAGCAACACUGGGACUGGGACACGGCCCAGACUCCUACGGGAGGCAGCAAUGGUGAAUAUGGGACAAUGGGCGAAAGCCUGAUCCAGCAAGGCCGCGAGAGUGAUGAAGGCGUUAGGGUUGUAAAGCUCUUUUACCCGGGAUGAUAAUGACAGUACCGGGAGAAUAAGCUCCGGCUAACUCCGUG
Molecule: ribosomal RNA, 433 nt
Filed under: uncultured bacterium
Lineage: Bacteria
Description: partial 16S ribosomal RNA
Rfam family: Bacterial small subunit ribosomal RNA
Source: RNAcentral